This 72-nucleotide transfer RNA is filed under the name Chloroflexi bacterium 54-19. Its description in RNAcentral is "tRNA-Arg". It matches the Rfam family "tRNA". Rfam says of the family: Transfer RNA (tRNA) molecules are approximately 80 nucleotides in length. RNAcentral also lists the same sequence under 1 other name. Lineage: Bacteria; Bacillati; Chloroflexota; Chloroflexia; Candidatus Chloroheliales. The record is from RNAcentral.
GGGUCUGUAGCUCAGAGGAAAGAGCAGUAGUCUUCUAAACUAGGGGCGUGGGUUCGAAUCCCGCCAGACCCU